Molecule: long non-coding RNA, 606 nt
Filed under: Piliocolobus tephrosceles (Ugandan red Colobus)
Lineage: Eukaryota; Metazoa; Chordata; Mammalia; Primates; Cercopithecidae
Description: lncRNA (ENSPTEG00000006855.1)
Source: RNAcentral
CAGAAAGAGCUUCCUGUCAUGGGCUGAUUGGCUGGCGGGGCAGAUCUGUAGCUGCGGCUGGGCCAGCCCUGCAGAGGCCGCUGACUGGGACACGAAUGGGGCAAGCUCUGUGGGUGCAGAGGUGGCCUAUGGGGUCUCACCCAGACCAGCGAGAGAGGUUCCACCAGGAGCCUUCAGCCUGGUAAACAGCAGGGCAGGGCUGUGACUCCGAUCUUGCUCUGCCUGGCUCUGAAGACGCCGUGUUCUUUGGUAGCUAUGCAGUGAGGUCACCAUGCUCUAGGAACCAACAUUUGUCCUAUUUGGUGUCACCUCAGUCGUUUGGGUUCAGUCCUCAAAAUAGGACACAAGCAUCCACCGACGGGGUGAAGAGAGGAGAACCUGGUUCUGGGAAGAGGACUGCGGUGAGAUGGAUUGGACUGGGGAGAUGCUAGAGAUGGGGACCUGUUGGGGUUACUGUGUUGUCCAGGUGAGAAGUUAAGAGUGUCCAGAUCCCAGUGGAGAGAAGAGUGGAGGGAGAAGUCCUGAGGCUCUUGCAGAGGAAGGAUGGGACUGGAUAACGGGGAUCACGGGGGAGGAGACAGAAAGACUCCCUGGCCCUGAGCCAGG